RNAcentral lists this ribosomal RNA (253 nucleotides) under uncultured bacterium. Its description in RNAcentral is "partial 16S ribosomal RNA". It matches the Rfam family "Bacterial small subunit ribosomal RNA", at positions 524 to 776 of the family's 1533-position model. The record is from RNAcentral.
UACGGAGGGGGCUAGCGUUGUUCGGAAUUACUGGGCGUAAAGCGCACGUAGGCGGAUGCUUAAGUCAGGGGUGAAAUCCCGGGGCUCAACCCCGGAACUGCCUUUGAUACUGGGUGUCUGGAGGUCGAGAGAGGCGAGUGGAAUUCCGAGUGUAGAGGUGAAAUUCGUAGAUAUUCGGAGGAACACCAGUGGCGAAGGCGGCUCGCUGGCUCGAUACUGACGCUGAGAAGCGAAAGCAUGGGGAGCGAACAGG